GAUCCUGGCUCAGGAUGAACGCUAGCGACAGGCUUAACACAUGCAAGUCGAGGGGCAGCGGGGUGUAGCAAUACACCGCCGGCGACCGGCGCACGGGUGAGUAACGCGUAUGCAACUUGCCUAUCAGAGGGGGAUAACCCGGCGAAAGUCGGACUAAUACCGCAUGAAGCAGGGAUCCCGCAUGGGAAUAUUUGCUAAAGAUUCAUCGCUGAUAGAUAGGCAUGCGUUCCA
RNAcentral lists this ribosomal RNA (231 nucleotides) under uncultured bacterium. Its description in RNAcentral is "partial 16S ribosomal RNA". It matches the Rfam family "Bacterial small subunit ribosomal RNA", at positions 15 to 240 of the family's 1533-position model. The record is from RNAcentral.